UGAAAUAACAAUAGGAGGCUUGUAUACUAGAGACUUUAUUCACCAUCUCAAAUUCUUGUCCACCAUGUGUUACACCGAUUGCUAAUGAAGAGUUUCACAACAUAGAAAAUGAUGAUUAUCAUAAAUUUUACUUCUGCUUAUCCCAUGCUGGCAUGGGUUAGAGGAAGACUUACUGAAGUUGAUUUUCUACUGGUCAAGAAUGCCAAAAACACAGCAGCAUUUAAACAGUGUCAGAAGAAAUAUGUUAUGCGACCUGGUUAAUACCUUAGAAGACAAACUUCAAGCCAACCAAAGCCUUGUGAGUGAAUUUGGUAGACAGAAAGUGAAAGAAGACGUACUUACGUACGCAACGGUUUUCUUUUUUCGGAUGCAGAACAACUUUACAGACUUUAGUUACUGAAGUUCGAAAAUUUGAUAAGCUCUUAUCAUAAAGAGAAGAAAAUGGUGAGGUUUUGAAACUGACCUUUUAUUUGAGAGGGCAGGAAAGAAACAUGAGUAUCUUAGACUCCUCCACAGUGAAAAAGUUUAUCUAAAUUUACAAAUUCCCUAAAUAAU
Long non-coding RNA from Octopus bimaculoides (California two-spot octopus), 555 nucleotides. The record is from RefSeq and is a predicted model, not a curated record. NCBI's taxonomy places the organism in Eukaryota, Metazoa, Mollusca, Cephalopoda, Octopoda, Octopodidae.